CUGGCAGCUCUGCUAACACGGGAUAAACAGGCAAAACGUCGAUACGCUCGCAGCCCCUCUUUACGACGACUGUUUCAGCUCUAUUGAGCGCCUGUUCGCUAGAAAAUAGUGCUAUUUCUGAAGAAUUUUUGUAACAGAUUCACGAAGCUAAUUCAAAAUGGGUAACGAAAGCUCGCUGCCUAUGGAACUUUGUUCAAACUUUGAUGUAGAUGAAAUCCGAAGAUUGGGGAAAAGAUUUCGGAAAUUAGAUUUGGAUAACAGCGGAGCUCUUAGCAUUGAUGAAUUUAUGUCCUUACCCGAGUUACAACAGAAUCCAUUAGUACAACAAGUACUAAAUGUGUCAAAUUAAUGUGUC
Molecule: long non-coding RNA, 355 nt
Organism: Linepithema humile (Argentine ant)
Lineage: Eukaryota; Metazoa; Arthropoda; Insecta; Hymenoptera; Formicidae
Source: RefSeq, a predicted model, not a curated record